Lynx canadensis (Canada lynx) is the source of this 403-nucleotide long non-coding RNA. RefSeq lists it as uncharacterized. The record is from RefSeq and is a predicted model, not a curated record. The transcript is spliced from 2 exons. NCBI's taxonomy places the organism in Eukaryota, Metazoa, Chordata, Mammalia, Carnivora, Felidae.
CUUUGGCGCAUGGCUGCCAGGGCCUGGGCGGGGGGCGGGGGGCGGGCGCAGGUUCCGAAACCAGCCAACGUGGGAACGGGAAAGGAGGCUUGCCUUAAUAUGGACGAACCCUAAGACUUAAGAAGUCCAUACAGUUUUAAAGAUGAAGCACCAUGAAAUGCAGAAACUUCUGGUCCGGCUAUCUCAGCUGAUUAUUUUCAUGUUGCCACAAUUUGUCAAAUGUGGACAUGAUAAUUGAAGUUCAACUAUCUUACAACAAUAAAGUGAUCCUAAACCAUUGCUAAGGAUGGAGGAAGCUAGAAUCUAGGUCCCUGAUGACAUUGUGGAGCUGCCAAACCAGCCCAGGAUUGCCUACCUCUGGACUUUUCAUUAUGGGAGAAAAUAAAACAAUUUGUUUAAGUCA